This 440-nucleotide ribosomal RNA is filed under the name uncultured bacterium. RNAcentral's name for it is "partial 16S ribosomal RNA". It matches the Rfam family "Bacterial small subunit ribosomal RNA", at positions 338 to 795 of the family's 1533-position model. The record is from RNAcentral.
CCUACGGGCGGCAGCAGUGGGGAAUAUUGCACAAUGGGGGAAACCCUGAUGCAGCGACGCCGCGUGAGUGAAGAAGUAAUUCGUUAUGUAAAGCUCUAUCAGCAGGGAAGAAAAUGACGGUACCUGAGUAAGAAGCCCCGGCUAACUACGUGCCAGCAGCCGUGGUAAUACGUAGGGGGCAAGCGUUAUCCGGAUUUACUGGGCGUAAAGGGAGCGUAGACGGCAGUGCAAGUCUGGAGUGAAAGGCGGGGGCUCAACCCCCGGACUGCUCUGGAAACUGUACGGCUGGAGUGCAGGAGAGGUAAGUGGAAUUCCUAGUGUAGCGGUGAAAUGCGUAGAUAUUAGGAGGAACACCAGUGGCGAAGGCAGCUUACUGGACUGUAACUGACGUUGAGGCUCGAAAGCGUGGGGAGCGAACAGGAUUAGAUACCCGGGUAGUC